This 207-nucleotide ribosomal RNA is filed under the name uncultured bacterium. Its description in RNAcentral is "partial 16S ribosomal RNA". It matches the Rfam family "Bacterial small subunit ribosomal RNA", at positions 568 to 774 of the family's 1533-position model. The record is from RNAcentral.
UGCGUAGGCGGGUUUUUAAGUCAGGGGUGAAAUCCUGGAGCUCAACUCCAGAACUGCCUUUGAUCCUGAAGAUCUUGAGUCCGGGAGAGGUGAGUGGAACUGCGAGUGUAGAGGUGAAAUUCGUAGAUAUUCGCAAGAACACCAGUGGCGAAGGCGGCUCACUGGCCCGGUACUGACGCUGAGGCACGAAAGCGUGGGGAGCAAACA